This is a long non-coding RNA of Arachis ipaensis, 997 nucleotides long. RefSeq lists it as uncharacterized. The record is from RefSeq and is a predicted model, not a curated record. NCBI's taxonomy places the organism in Eukaryota, Viridiplantae, Streptophyta, Magnoliopsida, Fabales, Fabaceae.
AACUUACCUGGAAACUUGCAGAAGAGCGGCGCUUGGGGAGCUCCACUUUGACGGUUUCGCUCUUUCUCUCUACAAAACACGGACCCUCUCUCUUUCUCUUUCUCAUUCUCAGAUUCUCUCUCUAAAAUCGGUGAACCUCCUAACUAUUCCGACGAGGUCGCCGGUUCUACCACCGCCGCCGCGGCGUUAUGCACCGACGGCCCUGCCUUGCAAUCUGGCUUACUUUCAUCUCGGAAAAUCUUGAUCUCGCAUAACUGUCGACAUUGCCGAAUAUUUUGGUGCACGUGAUCUGUUUGAUAAAUUGCUUCUAGUUUUGAAUGAGAAAUAUUGCACAUGACCUGUUUGAUAAAUUGCUUCUACUUUUGAAUAUAAAAUAUUGCACAUGAUCCAUUUGAUAAAUUGCUCUUGUUUUUGAAUGAGAAAUAUUGCACAUGAUCUGUUUGAUAAAUUCCGAAGCUCCUUUGGAAGUUAAUUAUCUCAAUGUCUGAAAAAAGGGAUAGGAAUUGUUUUAAAAUUUGUUUGGCUGUUGAUUGAAGAGACUACGAUGCCCUGCAUUGCCAUUGAUUUGUCAUUGCAGUGAGGAUUUUAGGUUUCCUUUGUAGGAGACUUCAUUAUCCAAGAGACUAGGAUGAAUUGCCGUUGAUAAAUAAUUGCAGUGAGAAUUUUCAGUUUCCUUUGAAAUGUGUAUCUUAUGAAGUUUAUAACCAUCCUAUUUUUGACACCACUGAAAGCUUUUAGCAAGGAAAUGAUUAUGGAAUUCCCUGACCUCUGGUUUUGGAUGGGGCUUAGUCUAGAAUUUUGUUUCAUACCUUUUGAGCAUGGUGUUUUGAACUGCUCUUUCUUGUGAUGUGGUACGAUUAUAUCGUUAUUCCUUUAAAUUUAACCCCACACUCUAUUAUUUAUUUAAGCUUGGUUAGUGAAGGAGGGAAUAUGCAUUCCCUAUACAUUAGGGAGUAGAGACAAUCACUCGAUAGAGAACGCCAUAUGGCUUGUUUUA